Molecule: ribosomal RNA, 460 nt
Filed under: uncultured bacterium
Lineage: Bacteria
Description: partial 16S ribosomal RNA
Rfam family: Bacterial small subunit ribosomal RNA
Source: RNAcentral
CCUACGGGGGGCUGCAGUGAGGAAUAUUGGUCAAUGGGCGAAAGCCUGAACCAGCCAAGUAGCGUGAGGGAAGACUGCCCUAUGGGUUGUAAACCUCUUUUGUCAGGGAGCAACGCCGGCUACGUGUAGCCGGACUGAGAGUACCUGAAGAAAAAGCAACGGAUAACUCCGUGCAAGCAGCCGCGGUAAUACGGAGGAUGCGAGCGUUAUCCGGAUUUAUUGGGUGUAAAGGGUGCGUAGGCGGAAUGCCAAGUCAGCGGUAAAAUCGCGGGGCUCAACCUCGCUCCGCCGUUGAUACUGGCGUUCUUGAGUGGGCGAGAGGUAUGCGGAAUGCGUGGUGUAGCGGUGAAAUGCAUAGAUAUCACGCAGAACUCCGAUUGCGAAGGCAGCAUACCGGCGCCCAACUGACGCUGAAGCACGAAAGCGUGGGUAUCGAACAGGAUUAGAUACCCUUGUAGUC